RNAcentral lists this ribosomal RNA (253 nucleotides) under uncultured bacterium. RNAcentral's name for it is "partial 16S ribosomal RNA". It matches the Rfam family "Bacterial small subunit ribosomal RNA", at positions 524 to 776 of the family's 1533-position model. The record is from RNAcentral.
UACGAAGGGGGCUAGCGUUGUUCGGAAUUACUGGGCGUAAAGCGCACGUAGGCGGAUCGAUCAGUCAGGGGUGAAAUCCCAGAGCUCAACUCUGGAACUGCCUUUGAUACUGUCGAUCUAGAGUAUGGAAGAGGUGAGUGGAAUUCCGAGUGUAGAGGUGAAAUUCGUAGAUAUUCGGAGGAACACCAGUGGCGAAAGCGACUCUCUGGACGGCAACUGACGCUGAGGCACGAAAGCGUGGGGAGCAAACAGG